CCUACGGGCGGCAGCAGUGAGGAAUAUUGGUCAAUGGGCGGGAGCCUGAACCAGCCAAGUAGCGUGAAGGAUGACAGCCCUAUGGGUUGUAAACUUCUUUUAUAAGGGAAUAAAGUGAGCCACGUGUGCCGUUUUGUAUGUACCUUAUGAAUAAGCAUCGGCUAAUUCCGUGCCAGCAGCCGCGGUAAUACGGAAGAUGCGAGCGUUAUCCGGAUUUAUUGGGUUUAAAGGGAGCGUAGGCGGUUGUUUAAGUCAGCGGUAAAAUUGUGCGGCUCAACCGUACCGUGCCGUUGAAACUUGGUGCCUUGAGUAUGCGUGAGGUACAUGGAAUUCGUGGUGUAGCGGUGAAAUGCUUAGAUAUCACGAAGAACUCCGAUUGCGAAGGCAGUGUACCGGA
RNAcentral lists this ribosomal RNA (397 nucleotides) under uncultured bacterium. RNAcentral's name for it is "partial 16S ribosomal RNA". It matches the Rfam family "Bacterial small subunit ribosomal RNA", at positions 338 to 733 of the family's 1533-position model. The record is from RNAcentral.